AUACCUAAUACUAGUUAUACUAUUGGAGUGAGAGCAUAUACUAGUAUUGGACCAGGAGAAUGGACUGAUAGAGAUUACACUACUGGUCAAAUACAUGUCACUCUAAGUUCUACUUUAGUAUCAACUUCAAGUACUUUAAUGGUAUCAGCAGUGACAAGUAUGUCACUUGUCACAAAACAUUAUCACAUGACUAUCACAUUGCCUACAGGUACUGGUACUUCAAUGAGAAGUAAAUUAUCAAGUACAACUCUGAUGACAACAACACUACCAAGUAAUACUAUGCUGCCUAACACUAAUGGAAACUUAGCAGUUAUUUAUGUAGCAGCUGGGGCUGUUGUGCCAUUAUUAAUUAUGAUUAUAAUAAUUGUCAUUAUUAUCAUAAUCAUAUUAAAGUAAGUAUAAAUUGACACUAUAUAUAACUAUAAUGGAAGAAAUAGGAAAAAGAGAGUUGGAAAGAAAUACGAUGUGGCUACUAAAAAUGGUUUGACUGAUAAACCAUCAAGUAGUGAACUUGAUGUUUCUACAUGCAACAUCAAUAAUAAAUCUUAUGAAAGUGUUGAAUUAGAAAAUAUUCAAGAGGCAACCUACAGUACAGUAAUGAAGCCUAAAAAGCCAGUGAUAGAAGAGUUCCCUAGUAAUGUGACAACUGAGGAAGGUCGUCGGGU
Molecule: long non-coding RNA, 665 nt
Organism: Amphimedon queenslandica
Lineage: Eukaryota; Metazoa; Porifera; Demospongiae; Haplosclerida; Niphatidae
Exons: 4
Source: RefSeq, a predicted model, not a curated record